RNAcentral lists this ribosomal RNA (209 nucleotides) under uncultured bacterium. Its description in RNAcentral is "partial 16S ribosomal RNA". It matches the Rfam family "Bacterial small subunit ribosomal RNA", at positions 568 to 774 of the family's 1533-position model. The record is from RNAcentral.
AGCGCAGACGGUUAUUUAAGCAAGAUGUGAAAGCCCCGGGGCUCAACCUGGGAACUGCGUUUUGAACUGGGUAACUAGAGUGUGUCAGAGGGGGAUAGAAUUCCACGUGUAGCAGUGAAAUGCGUAGAGAUGUGGAGGAAUACCGAUGGCGAAGGCAGCCCCCUCGGGAUAACACUGACGUUCAUGCUCGAAAGCGUGGGUAGCAAACA